Molecule: ribosomal RNA, 253 nt
Filed under: uncultured bacterium
Lineage: Bacteria
Description: partial 16S ribosomal RNA
Rfam family: Bacterial small subunit ribosomal RNA
Source: RNAcentral
UACGUAGGGUGCAAGCGUUGUCCGGAAUUAUUGGGCGUAAAGAGCUCGUAGGCGGUCUGUCACGUCUGCUGUGAAAACUCGGGGCUUAACCCCGGGCCUGCAGUGGGUACGGGCAGACUAGAGUGCGGUAGGGGAGACUGGAAUUCCUGGUGUAGCGGUGAAAUGCGCAGACAUCAGGAGGAACACCGGUGGCGAAGGCGGGUCUCUGGGCCGUAACUGACGCUGAGGAGCGAAAGCGUGGGGAGCGAACAGG